Molecule: long non-coding RNA, 564 nt
Organism: Erinaceus europaeus (western European hedgehog)
Lineage: Eukaryota; Metazoa; Chordata; Mammalia; Eulipotyphla; Erinaceidae
Exons: 3
Source: RefSeq, a predicted model, not a curated record
GUCUUGAACACAGUGACCUGUAAAGCAGGGGACAUGCAGUGCAGUGUGGCCAGCAGCUGGGGCUCUGGAGAGACACAGGUACAGGGCUGAUGCUGGAUGUUCCCUGUGAUCGUGGCCAGUCUGCCUCCCCACCCCCAGGAGAAUCACCUGCAGCUGAGGACACACCGGAGGUGGAGAGACCCGGAGAUGCUCAGCACAGACCUGCACAGCAAGUGUCCAGGGGAUGCUCCUCUGAUCCCUCUAUGUUGAGUGGGAGGAGGCCCAGGUUACUCUUUCUCUACAUAUGUCAGCAUAUGGCACUGCAGCCCAGGAGGUGGAGCCUUGGCUGGAGUUAGACAAAAAAUGACACACUACUACUGACCCCGACCAGAUGGGUUGAUUCUGGUGCCAACAAUGACAUAAUUCUUGAUGUUGACUGGGUUGAGUUUCCUGUGCACUGUGCCUGUGACCACACCUGCAGACCAGGGGCCGGGGUAACAGGGGCUGAAGGGCACCUGUCAGUGGGACCAGUGACCUCUGAAGGAGGAUCUCCGAGGACAGCAGGCAGUGGUACACAGGCCAGAG